UACGGGGGGGGCAAGCGUUGUUCGGAAUUACUGGGCGUAAAGGGCUCGUAGGCGGCCAACUAAGUCAGACGUGAAAUCCCUCAGCUUAACUGAGGAACUGCGUCUGAUACUGGAUGGCUUGGAUUCGGGAGAGGGAUGCGGAAUUCCAGGUGUAGCGGUGAAAUGCGUAGAUAUCUGGAGGAACACCGGUGGCGAAGGCGGCAUCCUGGACCGAUAUUGACGCUGAGGAGCGAAAGCUAGGGGAGCAAACGGG
RNAcentral lists this ribosomal RNA (253 nucleotides) under uncultured bacterium. RNAcentral's name for it is "partial 16S ribosomal RNA". It matches the Rfam family "Bacterial small subunit ribosomal RNA", at positions 524 to 776 of the family's 1533-position model. The record is from RNAcentral.